CAUGUCGGUAACCCUAGCGCGCCGUGCCAGGUCGGAUUCGGACAAACGUUUAACCCUCGGUGCUCGGGCUCGGCCUCCUCCGCCGUCCCUCGAGGGGCACCUGGGCAUUUAAGCGCCCGCACUGUCACCGGCGGGGUCACACCACGUCGUGCGUCCGUCGAGCGUGCCCGUGGCCCCCGGGGCGCCAUCGUCGUCCUGCCUCGGCUGCUGCACCGUCGCUUGAGUUCCGUGUUACCGCUCCUCUCAAUGGUGCGCUCCUGGUGCAUUUUGGGAGAGAGUCGGGGAGGAUGGCCUGCCCUGCCGCAGCAGCACGCCCCCGCCAGGGCCGCACGGACCGCACUGGGUACUGGUUUCAAAGCGGUGGUGAGAGGAAUGAAUGAACGACUCUAGCACCAUUUGAAAUCAGUUCUUUGUGAGCGUCCUUCUCAGCCGCCAACUCAACGCGGACUGGAUACACAAACUGGAAUAUUUUCUGCUCCACAUUUUCACCAAAGACUUGAUCUAAAACCUGAGUAAUGCAUACUACCUACUGUAUGUAUUUAUUGCUUUCUUAAGGAGUCAUCAUAGAUUUGCGGCCACAACCAUUAAUUAUAAACUUAAAAUCCCCAGAGGUGACACAUCGGACAAAAUUAAAUUAAACAAAAUAUAUAUCCUGCAUGCAACAAUUUGAAAGGUACAUA
Frankliniella occidentalis (western flower thrips) is the source of this 680-nucleotide long non-coding RNA. RefSeq lists it as uncharacterized. The record is from RefSeq and is a predicted model, not a curated record. The transcript has 2 exons. Lineage: Eukaryota; Metazoa; Arthropoda; Insecta; Thysanoptera; Thripidae.